This 253-nucleotide ribosomal RNA is filed under the name uncultured bacterium. RNAcentral's name for it is "partial 16S ribosomal RNA". It matches the Rfam family "Bacterial small subunit ribosomal RNA", at positions 524 to 776 of the family's 1533-position model. The record is from RNAcentral.
UACGUAGGGUGCAAGCGUUGUCCGGAAUUAUUGGGCGUAAAGAGCUCGUAGGCGGUUUGUCGCGUCUGCUGUGAAAACUCGGGGCUCAACUCCGAGCUUGCAGUGGGUACGGGCAGACUAGAGUGCGGUAGGGGAGACUGGAAUUCCUGGUGUAGCGGUGGAAUGCGCAGAUAUCAGGAGGAACACCGGUGGCGAAGGCGGGUCUCUGGGCCGUAACUGACGCUGAGGCGCGAAAGCCAGGGGAGCAAACGGG